AACGUAGGUGACGAGCGUUAUCCGGAAUUACUGGGCGUAAAGCGCGUGCAGGCGGCUUCGCAAGUCGGGCAUGAAAUCUCUCGGCCUAACCGAGAGACGCUGUUCGAUACUGCGGAGCUUGAGGGCAGUAAAAGGUGGCGGAAUUCCGCAUGUAGUGGUGAAAUGCGUAGAGAUGCGGAGGAACACCAGUGGCGAAGGCGGCCACCUAGGCUGUCCCUGACGCUGAAGCGCGAAAGCUAGGGUAGCGAACGGG
This 253-nucleotide ribosomal RNA is filed under the name uncultured bacterium. Its description in RNAcentral is "partial 16S ribosomal RNA". It matches the Rfam family "Bacterial small subunit ribosomal RNA", at positions 524 to 776 of the family's 1533-position model. The record is from RNAcentral.